GACGAACGCUGGCGGCGUGCUUAACACAUGCGAGUCGAACGAAGAGCGACGGAAGCUUGCUUCUAUCAAUCUUAGUGGCGAACGGGUGAGUAACGCGUAAUCAACCUGCCCUUCAGAGGGGGACAACAGUUGGAAACGACUGCUAAUACCGCAUACGAUCUAACCUCGGCAUCGAGGAUAGAUGAAAGGUGGCCUCUACAUGUAAGCUAUCACUGAAGGAGGGGAUUGCGUCUGAUUAGCUAGUUGGAGGGGUAACGGCCCACCAAGGCGAUGAUCAGUAGCCGGUCUGAGAGGAUGAACGGCCACAUUGGGACUGAGACACGGCCCAGACUCCUACGGGAGGCAGCAGUGGGGAAUCUUCCGCAAUGGACGAAAGUCUGACGGAGCAACGCCGCGUGAGUGAUGACGGCCUUCGGGUUGUAAAGCUCUGUUAAUCGGGACGAAAGGCCUUCUUGCGAAUAGUGAGAAGGAUUGACGGUACCGGAAUAGAAAGCCACGGCUAACUACGUG
This 510-nucleotide ribosomal RNA is filed under the name uncultured bacterium. RNAcentral describes it as "partial 16S ribosomal RNA". It matches the Rfam family "Bacterial small subunit ribosomal RNA", at positions 28 to 507 of the family's 1533-position model. The record is from RNAcentral.